AGAGUUUGAUCCUGGCUCAGGACGAACGCUGGCGGCGUGCCUAAUACAUGCAAGUCGAACGAGAGCGACCGGUGCUUGCACUGGUCAAUCUAGUGGCGAACGGGUGAGUAACACGUGGGUAACCUGCCCAUCAGAGGGGGAUAACAUUCGGAAACGGAUGCUAAAACCGCAUAGGUCCUUUAACCGCAUGGUUGAAGGAGGAAAAGAGGCGCAAGCUUCUGCUGAUGGAUGGACCCGCGGUGCAUUAGCUAGUUGGUGGGGUAACGGCUCACCAAGGCCGUGAUGCAUAGCCGACCUGAGAGGGUGAUCGGCCACAUUGGGACUGAGACACGGCCCAAACUCCUACGGGAGGCAGCAGUAGGGAAUCUUCCGCAAUGGACGCAAGUCUGACGGAGCAACGCCGCGUGAGUGAAGAAGGUUUUCGGAUCGUAAAACUCUGUUGUUAGAGAAGAACAAGUGCUAGAGUAACUGUUAGCGCCUUGACGGUAUCUAACCAGAAAGCCACGGCUAACUACGUGCCAGCAGCCGCGGUAAUACGUAGGUGGCAAGCGUUGUCCGGAUUUAUUGGGCGUAAAGCGAGCGCAGGCGGUUCCUUAAGUCUGAUGUGAAAGCCCCCGGCUCAACCGGGGAGGGUCAUUGGAAACUGGGGAACUUGAGUGCAGAAGAGGAGAGUGGAAUUCCAUGUGUAGCGGUGAAAUGCGUAGAUAUAUGGAGGAACACCAGUGGCGAAGGCGACUCUCUGGUCUGUAACUGACGCUGAGGCUCGAAAGCGUGGGUAGCAUACAGGAUUAGAUACCCUGGUAGUCCACGCCGUAAACGACGAGUGCUAAGUGUUGGAGGGUUUCCGCCCUUCAGUGCUGCAGUUAACGCAUUAAGCACU
RNAcentral lists this ribosomal RNA (880 nucleotides) under uncultured bacterium. RNAcentral describes it as "bacterial SSU rRNA". It matches the Rfam family "Bacterial small subunit ribosomal RNA", at positions 8 to 868 of the family's 1533-position model. The record is from RNAcentral.